AGGGUUUGAUCAUGGCUCAGAACGUACGCUGGCGGCACGCCUAACACAUGCAAGUCGAACGCAGUAGCAAUACUGAGUGGCAAACGGGUGAGUAUAAUGUGGGAAUCUGCCUUUUGGUUUGGAAUAACACGGGGAAACUUGUGCUAAUACCGAAUAAGCCCUUACGGGGAAAGUUUUAAUGCCGAAAGAUGAGCCCGCACUUGAUUAGCUAGUUGGUAAGGUAAAAGCUUACCAAGGCAACGAUCAAUAGCUGUUCUUAGAGGAAGACCAGCCACAUUGGGACUGAGACACGGCCCAGACUCCUACGGGAGGCAGCAGUGGGGAAUCUUGCACAAUGGGGGAAACCCUGAUGCAGCGAUGCCGCGUGAGUGAAGAAGGCCUUUGGGUUGUAAAACUCUUUCGUCGGGGAAGAAAAUGACUGUACCCGAAUAAGAAGGUCCGGCUAACUUCGUGCCAGCAGCCGCGGUAAUACGAAGGGACCUAGCGUAGUUCGGAAUUACUGGGCUUAAAGAGCUCGUAGGUGGUUAAAAAAGUUGAUGGUGAAAUCCCAAGGCUUAACCUUGGAACUGCCAUCAAAACUUUUUAGCUAGAGUGUGAUAGAGGUAAGUGGAAUUUCUAGUGUAGAGGUGAAAUUCGUAGAUAUUAGAAAGAACACCAAAUGCGAAGGCAACUUACUGGGUCACUACUGACACUGAGGAGCGAAAGC
This 706-nucleotide ribosomal RNA is filed under the name uncultured bacterium. RNAcentral describes it as "bacterial SSU rRNA". It matches the Rfam family "Bacterial small subunit ribosomal RNA", at positions 8 to 760 of the family's 1533-position model. The record is from RNAcentral.